RNAcentral lists this long non-coding RNA (1130 nucleotides) under Phoenix dactylifera (date palm). RNAcentral describes it as "long non-coding RNA (PDAC_LNC014779)". Lineage: Eukaryota; Viridiplantae; Streptophyta; Magnoliopsida; Arecales; Arecaceae. The record is from RNAcentral.
GUCAGGUACAUCGAAAAGGGCUACCUAUUGUCAAAGAUUAGCGGACUUGUAUGAGGAACCCGAGCAUAGGUCCGUAGGAGAGUCUUGAUGCCCAACACCUUAUGCCAUCUGGUGUGGGAGUGUUGACUGAAUGCUCGAUACACGGAGGAAUCAUUACAAGAGUAAAAGUGUAUAAUUUAUUUAUAAAUGCAAAAUAAAUAAAUAAAUAAAUAAAUAAAUAAACAGCAAAAAAGAAAAUAAUAUUGACCUUGAAUAAGACGAUAGCGUGAAAGCCAUCGUUGUAAAAAUUCGAGUAAACUGGAAUAUUACAGAUAAAGCCCAUGAGGUAUUAAAGUAAAUAUCCACAACUCUCGAAAUCCUGCAAGAUAAGGAUGAUUUUGAAUCAGUAAAUAGGUCUUAUCUGACCCAUUCUUGGAAACUACUAGCUUUAGCAAUAUUUUGGAAAAUCUAAAGCCUUAGCUUGUGUAUGGUCCAGAUAUCACCAAGCAUCCAAGUAUAAAUAAACCUUACAACUCUCUAACAGAAGCUUAAUAACCUCAACUGGAAUUGCAUCUUGACCUAGGAUUUAGGUUGACUUAGUAAUUAAAACUUUGUGUGCUUAUGCAUUUGAAAUCAAAUUUUAUAAAACAGUAAAAUAAAUUCUUUAGAGACAGCAAUUUGUGGGUAUCUGAGCCGGAAACCCUCACGAGACAAAACUCGUCCACUAGGGCUACCUAGAGGUUUAAAGCCUUAUUGCAUACGGUAAAUGCAAUCGCGAUUCCUGCGAAAGUGAGUUAGUUUUUAUUUUGCUUGAGGACUAGCAAAAUGUAGGUUUGGGGGUGUGAUAAGUGCUAAAUAAUGCAUAUAUUAUUAUCUUUCUCAUAGCACUUAUCAUUAUUUUAAUACACAUAUUUUGUAAAGUUAACCAUAAAAGAUGUGUUACCCUCAUCAUUGCAUUUUAAUAAAUUAAUUCGAGUUUGAUUUAAUUAAUUGAGCCUAAUGUAUGCAGGUCGAGUCAAGCUCAAUAAGAUAAAGUCUAAACCUACACUGCAUCAUUUCAUAAAUUCACAUCCUCCGGAGUCGACUCUAAGAACUUUCCUCCAAAACCUAGUGCUUCCCAUUAAUUCCCAUCUUUACCUAAUUCUCUUCCC